UCUGCUCAUCAAACUGAGCAUUGUUUUAAUUUGCCAGGCCCCGGGCAUAUGCUGAGUGGUCGCGUCAUUAUUGUCUCUGCGCUGCGUGAGUUAUCACUGUAGCUCAUGACAAAGCACCGCAAAUUUACAGGUGAGGACUUUUGUGUGUUUAUAAAAGGCUGAACAGAGAAGAGGAGGAGAAGGAGGAGAAGAGGGAGAAGAAGAAGAAAAGAAGUGAGUGAGUGGCAACAGAGAAAACGAAGCUCUGUUCGACGUCACCUUGAAAGACGAUGGACCGGCUGGAUAAUACAUCAUCGCAUCAGGGAACGCGACAUGUCGCCGACAAGCCCAAGGAGAGUUUUCAAGUCUUUCGACCUUUGUGAAGUCUCACAGAAUAAGCGCAGGUGAUUUGAAGUGGAAAAGUAGGGCCGAGUUACAGGUAAACAGCACAAUUAGCCUGGGGGUAUUUCUUGUUUUGCUCCGGUUUGACCUUUUCGGUCAGUAGU
This is a long non-coding RNA of Syngnathoides biaculeatus (alligator pipefish), 485 nucleotides long. RefSeq lists it as uncharacterized. The record is from RefSeq and is a predicted model, not a curated record. The transcript has 3 exons. NCBI's taxonomy places the organism in Eukaryota, Metazoa, Chordata, Actinopteri, Syngnathiformes, Syngnathidae.